Molecule: ribosomal RNA, 510 nt
Filed under: uncultured bacterium
Lineage: Bacteria
Description: bacterial SSU rRNA
Rfam family: Bacterial small subunit ribosomal RNA
Source: RNAcentral
AAUCAACGCUGGCGGCGUGCCUCAGACAUGCAAGUCGAACGCGAAAGUUCCCUUCGGGGAGCGAGUAGAGUGGCGCACGGGUGAGUAACACGUAGGUAAUCUACCUCAGGGUGGGGAAUAACAGCCGGAAACGGCUGCUAAUACCGCAUAAUGCAGCGGCACCACAUGGUGACAGUUGUUAAAGCGGGGAUCGUAAGACCUCGCGCCUGGAGAUGAGCCUGCGGCGGAUUAGCUAGUUGGCAGGGUAACGGCCUACCAAGGCAACGAUCCGUAGCCGGCCUGAGAGGGCGGACGGCCACACUGGCACUGACAUACGGGCCAGACUCCUACGGGAGGCAGCAGUCGGGAAUUUUGGGCAAUGGGCGAAAGCCUGACCCAGCAACGCCGCGUGAAGGAUGAAGCUUUUCGGAGUGUAAACUUCAUAAGAAUGGGACGAAUAAGGAGGGGUUAAUACCCCUUUCGAUGACGGUACCAUUUGUAAGCUCCGCUAACUCCGUGCCAGCAGCCGCU